GUCUUGGUUUGAUCACGUCCUUGAAUACUGGAAGCAGAGGGGAAAGAAGAAUUUUCUGUUUCUAAAAUACGAAGAUCUCCAUAAGGACCUCAAGGGGUGUAUUUGUAAACUCGCUGAGCUCGUCGAGAAGGAUCUAGCUGAUGAUGUCAUUAACGGUAUCAUAGAGUGCGUGACCUUUGAUGGCAUGAAGAAGUCAUAUCAACAGGUUGUUAAUAAGUAUGGGGAGAAAGGGAAAGAGAUGAUCACCCUGUUUGAUAUACCACACCUCAGGAAAGGACGAGUUGGUGACUGGAAAAACUUCUUUACAGUGACACAGAACGCCAUCUUCGACAAGAUCUACGCCCAGAGAAUGGAAGGAACCGGCUUGGAAUUUGACUUUGAGAUUUAAGAUCUUGCUGUUGAAGGGCCUGCGAUUUAACAGUGCCACAACGCCAUGCUGAUUUUUUCUAGGCCUGCAAAACGCCAAAUAAGAAAUUCCUUUAAGGUUAACAGACAUUGAAAACAUUUUGUUCUCGUAAAAUAUUUCAAAA
Acanthaster planci (crown-of-thorns starfish) is the source of this 530-nucleotide long non-coding RNA. The record is from RefSeq and is a predicted model, not a curated record. NCBI's taxonomy places the organism in Eukaryota, Metazoa, Echinodermata, Asteroidea, Valvatida, Acanthasteridae.